Molecule: non-coding RNA, 29 nt
Filed under: Rattus norvegicus (Norway rat)
Lineage: Eukaryota; Metazoa; Chordata; Mammalia; Rodentia; Muridae
Source: RNAcentral
UUGCUAAAUUUUUCUUUUUUAUGGAAUGC